Cyprinus carpio (common carp) is the source of this 1632-nucleotide long non-coding RNA. RefSeq lists it as uncharacterized. The record is from RefSeq and is a predicted model, not a curated record. Lineage: Eukaryota; Metazoa; Chordata; Actinopteri; Cypriniformes; Cyprinidae.
UGAGACAGUCUGUUAUUCUGCACGUCUGUCAAGAGGACAGCACAAUGCCAAACAACAAGGCUCUCAGGGCCGGUUUCAAUCAAAGAGACAAUGACGUGUCAACACGGCGCAUCUGCUGACACUUCGCAGAACAGCGAAAAUCAGAAGAAAAUGUUUAAAGAAGCUGGCCAUGAUCAUGAUUUUCUUCACAUUUCCCAAAAAGAGAUAAAAGGUCAUUGCUUCAUGGGACAUUAGCUGUGUCACCCCCCGGCAGAACAACAACACAGAAGGACAUCAAAACAUGCAAAACACAAGGAGGCCUAUAAUACAUGCAGAAAGCUGUAAACAUUCCCAUUCGUCUCAACUGCAGUUACUCGGCUGGUGCGGGACCCCCGUAAGCAUGCGAUUUGAACUGUGGAUAGUGGUCAGAGUGACAUUGUUUUGGAUCCAACAAAGUUAGCAGUUUAGCUAAUGCUAAUAAACAGGUUUCUGUUCUGUUCCAUAUAUGAAAUAUGUGCCAUAAUUGAGGGUAUUCCCUGUUCAUAUUAAAAGGUUUUUGUGUACAUUGCUGUGCAUAUGAAUACGCAACAACAUAGAAUCAGUGUAUUGACAGCAUUUAAAAAGUACAUCAUUUACUUUAGAAAUAACCUAUAUGAUUUCAAUAUUCUGUGUACUUAUAAACAUUUUUACAACUCUAAAGUUGUACAUGUGUAAAAGUCUUUGUUUUUAAAACGCUGAUGUUGUAUGCAUCAGUGUCUGUCCAAACAAACAACAAGCAACACUUUAUAAAUGAAUAAUAAUGAGAUCACUUUGCAUAAUCAGGUAGCCAUUGUAAAGGGAGGACUCAAAUGCUUUGACAAUGUCACAUUGAAAAGCUUGUAUUCGUGACAUUGUUAAUGUAAAAUAAAAGGCAAAGAAGCGUGCACAUGGACCUAAUAGCGAAUUGUCAUUUAAUUGCUCACCUCUACAGAGCUAGAAACCAUUUGACAUGCUCAAGAAGCUUUUCUAAGCCGGGCUGCAUUCUGAUUGAUAGUAAAAUUCGGAGCACUUGACAAUUAAUCUUUCAAAGAGAGAGUCAUUAAUAAUGCAUAGCGUAAUUCCCCUGAGUAUAGAGAGCAAUAAGACAUAACCGCUUUUUAAGUGAGAGGGGAGAUGUGGAGUGGUAGCUGGAUUUCAGAUUCAUCAUUCACACUGGAUAUGGCCAACAUCUGGUUUGGUGACCAUAAACAAGAUUGUUUAAUUUGCAAAAGCAUUGCCAUUGCAGCUGGUAUACAAACUAUUAAUGCAGAGUGCCGUUUUAGAGGUUGUCGCGCAGUUUACACAAAGAUAGGAUCAUAUCUCAUAUAUUUACAGUUGGCAAGGUCAUGUGAUGCUAGUCUGUUUUCUGCAUAUUUAAUGUUUAUUAUGUUAUCAGAGCUGAGCGAUUUUGAUAACACACAUGAUUUCAGUUUGUGCAGAGCUCACUGAAUGAAGUUGUUUUAUUUAUUUAUUUUUAUUUCUUAAGAUUAGGCAUCUCGCAGUUCUCAUUUGUACACAAGUUAGAAAUUUGUAGAUGCCAAAGUUUAUUGCACAAGCUUAUGAGGAUUGGCCCACAGGCUGAAUAAGGCUAGAUCAGUAGGAGAAAGUACAUUACUCAUUUGUCUCCAAAUCUUC